CGAGGAGGAGGAGGUCUGUGGAGCCCACGCCCAGCAGAUCCACCGAGCAGCCAGAGGUCCGCCCCGGUGGUCACCAACGUGCAUGUGGGAGCCCGGCGGCGCUCGUCGCCGUAUCCAGGAAGUGACUCCCCGUUGUCAACCACAACUUUGCCCACAGUGCCCAGUGCCCACAAUAUGAAGAUGUGGGCUCUGUCUGACAUUUACGGUUCUCCUUCCGCCUUGCUUUGACGUCAAGCUCCCUAAAGAGAUGAGUGGCUGUGAAGAACCCCCGGCCCAGAGACUCCUCGGUAAUGGCCGGGGGGUUCGGGUCACGGAGAUGAC
Gadus macrocephalus (Pacific cod) is the source of this 321-nucleotide long non-coding RNA. RefSeq lists it as uncharacterized. NCBI's taxonomy places the organism in Eukaryota, Metazoa, Chordata, Actinopteri, Gadiformes, Gadidae. The record is from RefSeq and is a predicted model, not a curated record. The transcript is spliced from 3 exons.